RNAcentral lists this long non-coding RNA (688 nucleotides) under Ictidomys tridecemlineatus (thirteen-lined ground squirrel). Its description in RNAcentral is "lncRNA (ENSSTOG00000033955.1)". The record is from RNAcentral. Lineage: Eukaryota; Metazoa; Chordata; Mammalia; Rodentia; Sciuridae.
CCCUCUGUGCCUCAGCUGCAGGUGGCGGAGAUGCGCGUCCAGUACCUGGAGCAGUCCACCGUGGACCGCGCGAUUGUCAGCAGGCAGGAGGCAGCCAUCUGCGACUUGGAGAACAAGACGGAGUUUCAGAAAGUGCAGAUUAAGAGACUUGAGGUCCUGGUGAUCAGACUCCGGGACAGCCUGAUCAAGAUGGGCGAGGACCUGUCGCAGGCCCAGGCCUCGGAGUCCAAGCAGCGGGAGAGCAGCCAGUACUACCAGCGGCGCCUGGAGGAGCUGAAGGCAGACAUGGAGGAGCUGGUGCAGCGGGAGGCGGAGGCCAGCAGGAGGUGCAUGGAGCUGGAGAAGUACGUGGAGGAGCUCGCCGCCGUGAGGCAGACCCUGCAGACGGACCUGGAGACGUCCAUCCGGCGGAUCGCCGACCUGCAGGCGGCCCUGGAGGAGGUGGCGUCCAGCGACAGCGAUGCCGAGAGUGUGCAGACAGCGGUGGAUUGUAGCAACGGCGGCAGGAAAGAAAUAGACAGCUUCUCCGCCAUCAGCUCCCAGCCAGAGGGCAGCCUGCAGUCCUGGCUGAGCUGCACUCUGUCCCUGGCCACAGACACGGCCAAGAGCCCGUCUCGACAGUCCGCCGCCAGCAGCUACACCCUCCACGCCAGGUAAGAGCGCCACCUGUGUCGCUGCUUGGCCGACA